AACCACCGGAGGGAUCAUUG
Molecule: ribosomal RNA, 20 nt
Filed under: Stegonsporium acerophilum
Lineage: Eukaryota; Fungi; Ascomycota; Sordariomycetes; Diaporthales; Stilbosporaceae
Description: partial 18S ribosomal RNA
Source: RNAcentral